RNAcentral lists this long non-coding RNA (644 nucleotides) under Elaeis guineensis (African oil palm). Its description in RNAcentral is "long non-coding RNA (EGUI_LNC030017)". Lineage: Eukaryota; Viridiplantae; Streptophyta; Magnoliopsida; Arecales; Arecaceae. The record is from RNAcentral.
GCUUUCGUCAUCAUGCUCAGGCAAAGCAUACAAUUUUACGUGGGCAUCUAGAUUACCACCCAUAUGGCCUUUCAAAAGACACCCCACUCUUGAUUGCAUGACAUGUUGGGUGGUGGAUUUUGAUAGGGGGCAUGUGCCUAACUCGUACCCAGUCCGAUCAUACAAAAUCUCCAUUUAGGCAUCAAAACCGCCAUCCAUAUAACCUUUUAAAAAGACAUCCCAUUCCCUCAUUUAUAAAUGAAUUUUGAAAAGACUCAGACCCACUUUAGUGUAACACCCUCUUUAUGUAUGUGAUUCACCCUCAUAGAUUUGAAUAAGUGGGUUGUGUUUCUUGCAGCUCGUGUGGUUUCAAAAGCAGUGCUCCAUCCCAUCUCCAAGGAAAAGUGGAACCCUAGAUGUCAACAUAGCUUUUGCCUAAAGGAAUAAAUACAUCAAGCACCAAAAGUAUUCUACUCUAGAGGAGAAAUAGUUUGCAAGCUACUGAGCCUAUGUGGACAUUCCAAAGGGAUCACACUAGGGUUUUCGCUGGUGAUGCGAAGAAUGUAGAGAUUUUGAACGAUAAAAAGACACACCAAGGUAAUCCUACCCUUAAAAUGGUUUGAAGUUUUUAUCACAGGAGACAAUGGGAAGCAUCUACCAGACUG